AACAGUAUACAUUUUUCAUAGUAUAGCAGGGUCCUUCCUCAAGGGGACCUGUCUGCCUUUUCAUUCAGUGGAUUCUGGGUCUGUAAAUGUAAGAACCAUAUUUUCAAACACUAUUAUAGUUUACAAUAUAUUUUAAGUUUUAUAAAUAAGUAUUCUUGCUCCAACCACUAAAUUCCAUGUCUACUAAAAAAGAAAUGUCAUGGUUUUUCUUUGUCAUUUCUAUUUGAAAUGAGAUUUUUGUAUCGCUCUCUCUUCCCUGAACACACAUAUUUGGUAUUUUGACU
RNAcentral lists this long non-coding RNA (284 nucleotides) under Homo sapiens (human). RNAcentral's name for it is "non-protein coding lnc-REG1B-8:1". Lineage: Eukaryota; Metazoa; Chordata; Mammalia; Primates; Hominidae. The record is from RNAcentral.